UGAGGAAUUUUAGGCAAUGGGGGCAACCCUGACCCAGCGACGCCGCGUGCAGGAUGACGGCCCUUCGGGUUGUAAACUGCUUUCGGGUGAGAAGAAAAGCCGACUCGGUCGGCUGGGACUGUACCACAAGAAGAAGCACCGGCUAACUACGUGCCAGCAGCCGCGGUAAUACGUAGGGUGCAAGCGUUAUCCGGAAUCACUGGGUGUAAAGGGUGUGUAGGCGGGUUUGUGCGUCAGAGGUUAAAUACCCGGGCUUAACUCGGGAAAUGCCUUUGAUAGGCAAGCCUUGAGUAUGAGAGAGGAAGAUGGAAUUCCUGGUGUAGAAGUGAAAUUCGUAGAUAUCAGGAGGAACACCGGUGGCGAAGGCGGUCUUCUGGCUCAUUACUGACGCUGAGGCACGAAAGCGUGGGGAUCAAACA
RNAcentral lists this ribosomal RNA (419 nucleotides) under uncultured prokaryote. RNAcentral's name for it is "bacterial SSU rRNA". It matches the Rfam family "Bacterial small subunit ribosomal RNA", at positions 355 to 774 of the family's 1533-position model. The record is from RNAcentral.